AAAGGAAUUGACGGGACCCCGCACAAGCGGUGGAUCAUGUUGUUUAAUUCGAAGAUACGCGAAGAACCUUACCAGGUCUUGACAUACUCUGCAAUACUAUAGAGAUAUAGUGGAGGUUAUCAGAUGUACAGGUGGUGCAUGGUUGUCGUCAGCUCGUGUCGUGAGAUGUUGGGUUAAGUCCCGUAACGAGCGCAACCCCUAUUGCUAGUUGCCAUCAUUAAGUUGGGGACUCUAGCGAGACUGCCAGUGACAAACUGGAGGAAGGUGGGGAUGACGUCAAAUCAUCAUGCCCCUUAUGACCUGGGCUACAAACGUGAUACAAUGGCUGUAACAAAGGGAAGCGAAAGGGUGACCUGGAGCAAAUCUCACAAAUACAGUCCCAGUUCGGAUUGAAGUCUGCAACUCGACUUCAUGAAGCCGGAAUCGCUAGUAAUCGUGGAUCAGAAUGCCACGGUGAAUACGUUCUCGGGGUUUGUACACACCGCCCGU
RNAcentral lists this ribosomal RNA (489 nucleotides) under uncultured bacterium. RNAcentral describes it as "bacterial SSU rRNA". It matches the Rfam family "Bacterial small subunit ribosomal RNA", at positions 903 to 1397 of the family's 1533-position model. The record is from RNAcentral.